Molecule: long non-coding RNA, 514 nt
Filed under: Schistocerca americana (American grasshopper)
Lineage: Eukaryota; Metazoa; Arthropoda; Insecta; Orthoptera; Acrididae
Description: uncharacterized LOC124619825
Source: RNAcentral
GUUGGUUGUUACUACAUGUACGGGUGUUGGCUACACUGUUAAUGUUCUUCCUCCGCCAUUGCACGCGAUUACAAUUUGCGGAAUAGGCUAGUGGAUCCUCCGAAGUGUAAACUCGAUUGGUUAAUAAUCCGUGAAGAAAGAUGUCUUCUGCAGUUCCAACGAAAAAGCUCCCUAAGCCCCAAAUGAGGAAUUUGUUAACCAAUCAGUCCAAAGUUGUUUUUGGAGCUGGAUUGGUUCUCGCAGCGAGCGUUGCACUUGCAUAUAAAUUGAUUGUUGGAGAAGGCCGCAAGCGAAAAUAUGCGGAAUUCUAUAAGACAUAUGAUGCUGAGAAAGAGCUGAAGAGGAUGGUGGAAGCUGGUGUUUUAGUUUCAGGCAAACUGGACUCGUGAAGAUUGUCAUAAAUUGUAGUACCAUGCAAUAAUAAAUGUAUAUCAUUCUCGUCUCUGCCGUACAGAAGAUACAAAUUGUAUUAAAAAAUAUGUUCUAAAAUUGUAAAUAAAGAAUUUGUCGAUAA